RNAcentral lists this long non-coding RNA (249 nucleotides) under Vigna radiata. RNAcentral describes it as "long non-coding RNA (VRAD_LNC014008)". Lineage: Eukaryota; Viridiplantae; Streptophyta; Magnoliopsida; Fabales; Fabaceae. The record is from RNAcentral.
UGGCCGUAAGUCUUCUUCAAGGCUGGCGCUCAGCGCUGAAAUUGGCGUUGAGCGAUGAGAUCGAUUCAUCUUUAGCACCUUUCUUCAUCCCUUCUUGAGUCGAACUACUUCCUACUUCACUUUCCAUCCUUCAAUUCUAAUUAAAUCCUGUCAAAACAAUGUAAAACCUAGCAUAAUAUCUCUAAAACCACCUUUGACUCUCUUGUAACCUAACUUAAGUGUUUUGCAUGAUUUUAAGCUAAUUCUAAG